RNAcentral lists this transfer RNA (76 nucleotides) under Candidatus Vogelbacteria bacterium RIFOXYD1_FULL_42_15. RNAcentral describes it as "tRNA-Thr". It matches the Rfam family "tRNA". Rfam says of the family: Transfer RNA (tRNA) molecules are approximately 80 nucleotides in length. Their secondary structure includes four short double-helical elements and three loops (D, anti-codon, and T loops). Further hydrogen bonds mediate the characteristic L-shaped molecular structure. tRNAs have two regions of fundamental functional importance: the anti-codon, which is responsible for specific mRNA codon recognition, and the 3' end, to which the tRNAs corresponding amino acid is attached (by aminoacyl-tRNA synthetases). tRNAs cope with the degeneracy of the genetic code in two manners: having more than one tRNA (with a specific anti-codon) for a particular amino acid; and 'wobble' base-pairing, i.e. permitting non-standard base-pairing at the 3rd anti-codon position. The record is from RNAcentral. Lineage: Bacteria; Candidatus Vogeliibacteriota.
GCCAGCAUAGCUCAGUUGGUAGAGCAACGGUUUUGUAAACCGUUUGUCCGGGGUUCGAUCCCUCGUGCUGGCUCAA